CCCACAGCCGCGGCAUCUUCCCGAGCUGGCAGCAGACCCUGAAAGGCCCUGAGACCCAGGACUUGAAGAAAAGGUUUGCUCCACAGGUGGUCCAGAGCACACCCAGGGUCUCCUCAGACUGGGCACUGCUCGGAUUUCUCCUUUCACGCCUUUAACUUUAUGGAAUAUCCACAUAACUGCCCUGGGACUGUCUCUGCCAUAUCCAAGCAUCUCACACAAUACCUGGCACAGAGUAUCAGACCAUCGGGCUGCAGAGACUUGACAGGGCUCCGGGAACCCCGUGCUGGGAGAGGGGAAAAGAUGACGACCUGCAGAAGCAGCAGCACAGGGCAGGCUUGUCUGCUAGACAGAGAUCUCAGUCAUCUUCCUGGACCACCCUGCACGGGAGACUGGCGAGCUGAGACAAUAGUGGGCGUGAUGGGUAGGACCACACCUUGACCAGGUGACCAGGCGUACUCCGGCCCCAUCUGCCCUCCUAAGCUUCACGUCAGGAUCUCAGAGGGAGGUCUUGGACUUAGAGGGAUGGCCGUGAAGCUUCCUGGACUCCUUUGUUUGUUCUUCUUCCUGAUGUGGAUACAUUCAAUAACUCUUCUUUUUCUGCUUUUACUAUGACAGACCACUGGCUAAGCCCAGCUUGUUUGUUGGUUAUCAGGCUAGGCUACAAGCACCCUCACCCCUAACCACCGAGCCAUCCCACCAGCCCAGAAAA
Apodemus sylvaticus (European woodmouse) is the source of this 709-nucleotide long non-coding RNA. RefSeq lists it as uncharacterized. Lineage: Eukaryota; Metazoa; Chordata; Mammalia; Rodentia; Muridae. The transcript has 3 exons. The record is from RefSeq and is a predicted model, not a curated record.